GACGAACGCUGGCGGCGUGCUUAACACAUGCAAGUCGAACGGAAAGGCCCUGCUUUUGUGGGGUGCUCGAGUGGCGAACGUGUGAGUAACACUUGAGUAACCUGCCCUUUACUUUGUUAUAACUUCAGGAAACUUGGGCUAAUACCUGAUAGGAUCUCCUGCUGCAUGGUUGUGGUUGGAAAUUUUCGGCUGUUGGGGAUUGACUCUCUGCUUAUCAGCUUGUUGGUGGGGUAGUGGCUUACCAAGGCUUUGACGGGUAGCCGGCCUGAGAGGGUGACCGGCCAAAUUGGGACUGAGAUACGGACCAGAAGCCUACGGGAGGCAGCAGUGGGGAAUAUUGCACAAUGGGAGGAAGCCUGAUGCAGCAACGCCGCGUGCGGGAUGACGGCCUUCGGGUUGUAAACCGAUUUCGCCUGUGACGAAGCGUGAGUGACGGUAAUGGGUAAAGAAGCACCGGCUAACUACGUG
RNAcentral lists this ribosomal RNA (468 nucleotides) under uncultured bacterium. Its description in RNAcentral is "partial 16S ribosomal RNA". It matches the Rfam family "Bacterial small subunit ribosomal RNA", at positions 28 to 507 of the family's 1533-position model. The record is from RNAcentral.